Molecule: ribosomal RNA, 508 nt
Filed under: uncultured bacterium
Lineage: Bacteria
Description: partial 16S ribosomal RNA
Rfam family: Bacterial small subunit ribosomal RNA
Source: RNAcentral
GAUGAACGCCAGCUACAGGCUUAACACAUGCAAGUCGAGGGGCAGCAUGAAAGGAACUUCGGUUCCUUUUGAUGGCGACCGGCGCACGGGUGCGUAACGCGUAUCGAACCUGCCUCAUACUCGGGGAUAGCCUUGCGAAAGUAAGAUUAAUACGCGGCGGUCUCGGAUGGCCGCAUGACUGUCCGAGUGAAGAUUUAUCGGUAUGAGAUGGCGAGGCGUUCCAUUAGCUAGUUGGUGAGGUAAAGGCUAACCAAGGCAUCGGUGGGUAGGGGUUCUGAGAGGAAGGUCCCCCACAUUGGAACUGAGACACGGUCCAAACUCCUACGGGAGGCAGCAGUGAGGAAUAUUGGUCAAUGGACGAAAGUCUGAACCAGCCAAGUAGCGUGCAGGACGACGGCCCUCUGGGUUGUAAACUGCUUUUGGUUGGGAAUAAAAAGAGGGACGUGUCCCUUAUUGUAUGUACCAUCAGAAAAAGGACCGGCUAAUUCCGUGCCAGCCGCCGCCGUAA